AUUGAACGCUGGCGGCAGGCCUAACACAUGCAAGUCGAGCGGUAGAGAGAAGCUUGCUUCUCUUGAGAGCGGCGGACGGGUGUGUAAUGCCUAGGAAUCUGCCUGGUAGUGGGGGAUAACGUUCGGAAACGGACGCUAAUACCGCAUACGUCCUACGGGAGAAAGCAGGGGACCUUCGGGCCUUGCGCUAUCAGAUGAGCCUAGGUCGGAUUAGCUAGUUGGUGGGGUAAUGGCUCACCAAGGCGACGAUCCGUAACUGGUCUGAGAGGAUGAUCAGUCACACUGGAACUGAGACACGGUCCAGGCUCCUACGGGAGGCAGCAGUGGGGAAUAUUGGACAGUAGGCGAAAGCCUGAUCCAGCCAUGCCGCGUGUGUGAAGAAGGUCUUCGGAUUGUAAAGCACUUUAAGUUGGGAGGAAAGGCAGUAAAUUAAUACUUUGCUGUUUUGACGGUACCGACAGAAUAAGCACCGGCUAACUCUGUG
RNAcentral lists this ribosomal RNA (484 nucleotides) under uncultured bacterium. RNAcentral's name for it is "partial 16S ribosomal RNA". It matches the Rfam family "Bacterial small subunit ribosomal RNA", at positions 30 to 507 of the family's 1533-position model. The record is from RNAcentral.